Molecule: ribosomal RNA, 1663 nt
Filed under: Malenchus acarayensis
Lineage: Eukaryota; Metazoa; Nematoda; Chromadorea; Rhabditida; Tylenchidae
Description: SSU rRNA
Rfam family: Eukaryotic small subunit ribosomal RNA
Source: RNAcentral
AUGUACAAGUACAAACGAUUCAAUCGUGAAACCGCGAACGGCUCAUUAUAACAGCUAUAAUCCACUUGAUCUGGAAAUCCUACUCGGAUAACUGUGGUAAUUCUAGAGCUAAUACGUGCACAAAGACCCUUCGGGGCGCAUCCGCUUGCAGAAAACCGGACGUCCCUCGGGGCGCUCCACGUUGACUCAGAGCAACUAAGCUGAUCGUACGGCCCAGUGUCGGCGACGUGUCUUUCGAGUGUCUGCCUUAUCAACUUGUCGGUAGCGUAUUGGACUACCGUGGUGGUGACGGGUAACGGAGAAUUAGGGUUCGACUCCGGAGAAGGGGCCUGAGAAAUGGCCACUACGUCUAAGGAUGGCAGCAGGCGCGCAAAUUACCCACUCUCGGCACGAGGAGGUAGUGACGAAAAAUAACGGGGCUGGCCCUAUGGGUUGGCGAUCGGAAUGGGCUCAAUGUAAACGAUUGGGCGAGUAUCUAUGAGAGGGCAAGUCUGGUGCCAGCAGCCGCGGUAAUUCCAGCUCUCAGAAUGCAUAGAACCAUUGCUGCGGUUAAAAAGCUCGUAGUUGGAUUUGGGCGCGGGCCCACGACCUCGCUUCGGCGUUGCUCGGCGGUGUCCCGUGCUUCAUGCCGGCUGAAGGCCAUGGCUUAGGCUGUGCGCCAAUGGCUGGCGAGUUUACUUUGAACAAAUCAGAGUGCUCAAGACAGGCUCAACGCCUGAAUGCUCGUGCAUGGAAUAAUAGAAAAGGAUCUCGGUCCGAUUUUGUUGGUUUUGCGGCUGAGGUAAUGAUCAAUAGGGGCGGACGGGGGCAUUCGUACUCCUGCGUGAGAGGUGAAAUUUUUGGACCGCAGGAAGACGCACUACAGCGAAGGCARUUGCCAAGCACGUCCCCGUUAAUCAAGAACGAAAGUCAGAGGAUCGAAGGCGAUUAGAUACCGCCCUAGUUCUGACCGUAAACGAUGCCAACUAGCGAUCCGUGGGUGGCCUUUCACGGCCCCGAUGGGGAGCUUCCCGGAAACGAAAGUCUUCCGGUUCCGGGGGAAGUAUGGUUGCAAAGCUGAAACUUAAAGGAAUUGACGGAAGGGCACCACCAGGAGUGGAGCCUGCGGCUUAAUUUGACUCAACACGGGGAACCUCACCUGGGCACGACACCGUCGGGAUUGACAAACUGCAGAAUUUUCAUGAUUCGGUGAAUGGUGGUGCAUGGCCGUUCUUAGUUCGUGGAGUGAUCAGUCAGGUUAAUUCCGGUAACGAGCGAGACUCCAGCCUGCUAGUUAGACCUUGAGAGAGGCAACUUCUUAGAGGGAUCCACGGCGACCCAUAGCCGAAAGAGAUGGAGCGAUAACAGGUCUGUGAUGCCCCUUGAUGCCCGGGGCUGCACGCGCGCUACACUGGCGAAUGCAACGUGUUUGUCCUGCCUCGAGAGGGGUGGGUAAUCCGCUGAAACUUCGCCGUGACUGGGAUCGGAGAUUGCAAUUAUUCUCCGUGAACGAGGAAUUCCAAGUAAGUGUGAGUCACCAACUCGCGUUGAUUACGUCCCUGCUCUUUGUACACACCGCCCGUCGCUGCCUGGAACGAGGAGGCUCGAGAAGUAUGAGGAUCGGCGAGUCGCGGCAACGCUUCACGUCAGAGAAUCAGCCUAAUCGAGACUUCUUGGACUGGGC